UGCACUCCAAGUCCGUAGACUCUAUCUUUAUUUAUUUUCAUGAGAAAUUAAAAAUAAUAUAUUUAAAUGAGCAAGAGAUGAAACAUACAACUUCUGCAAAAAAUAUUAAAAUGAAGUCAUAUUGAAAAAAUUACUAAAAUAUUUUAUUCUUUUAUUUACUCCACCGGCUGCCUGUAUCUAUAUUGAAGUCAUACAUACGGGCGUCGGUUGAGAAUCGAGUUGAGUUUGUUGCCACUACUCAAUUCUUCUUUGAUAUCCUUCCUGAAAUGUUGUUGACAAACAUUAUAUAAACAAAUUAAUUUUAACCAAGAAUAAAGGUAGUAUUGAAUUUAGAAUCUUACAUAUGUCUCUGAUGCACGCGGUUCGACCCAUGCUAGUAUUUCUCGGUUCAACGGCAUAGACUGGGAGCACCAUAUCAAAAUAUUUUCAUGCUUCUCCAUCUGACGGAUGACAUAGCACACCAUCUGGCCUUCUAUGUUCAUAAUGCUAUCUCAUAUGAAGAGCAGAAUUC
Molecule: long non-coding RNA, 511 nt
Filed under: Nicotiana tabacum (common tobacco)
Lineage: Eukaryota; Viridiplantae; Streptophyta; Magnoliopsida; Solanales; Solanaceae
Description: long non-coding RNA (NTAB_LNC016661)
Source: RNAcentral